GUGCUUGCUUUGGCAGCAUGUAUAUUAAAAUUGGAAAGAUACAGAGAAGACUAGCAUGGCCCCUGCGCAAGGAUGACAUGCAAAUUCUGUGACCUGGGCAAAUGGAUC
Molecule: small nuclear RNA, 108 nt
Organism: Suncus etruscus (white-toothed pygmy shrew)
Lineage: Eukaryota; Metazoa; Chordata; Mammalia; Eulipotyphla; Soricidae
Source: RefSeq, a predicted model, not a curated record